Fukomys damarensis (Damara mole-rat) is the source of this 1007-nucleotide long non-coding RNA. RefSeq lists it as uncharacterized. The record is from RefSeq and is a predicted model, not a curated record. Lineage: Eukaryota; Metazoa; Chordata; Mammalia; Rodentia; Bathyergidae. The transcript has 6 exons.
UAUGUCAGGCAUAGUUUCAUAGUUUACAGAGAAAGUAACAGCACAAAACAUCAUGGAGAAAUUUUCGUAGAGAAUUUGGACUGGAAUUGAUAAAUGAAGAACAAUAUGUAUCUGUCCAAAGAACUGUGCAAAAGAAUUCUGGAGCAGACCUGUGAACAGACAGGUAAAACAUCAAAAGAAUUCCUAAGAAAACAGGAAGACCAACAAGAGGUUAAGUAUGUCCUAUCAAAGGAGACAGGAAAACAAAACGAUGUGCUGUCAGUGAUAUUGGUAAGCUAGAAGGGUGUUAGAGGACUAACCUUUCAGCAGGAGCAAUUUGAAAUAUUAAUGCUGCACGGAUUAUGAUUGCUGGAGAAGACUUUGGCCAAUAUGUUUAACACAGCUGUUCUUAAAUGAGGGACUCUCUGGAUUCCUCAAAUGAAGGAUCCAGACGACGCAGUCCUCCAUGACUUGAGAUGGAGGUCCACGUCUUAUUCUGCAGUGAUGCCUAUACACUGAGCCAGGUCUUGGGUGAGAAUACGGUGUCACUACUUAUAUAUUACUUGAAACUGUUGCUGUGUGCAGAUGAAAUCCGAGCUUACCAGGUGACAUUAAGAUGAGUUACCAUGUUUUGGAUCUAGACAACAAAUAAAAUAUUCCUGCAAUUGUGCCCAGAGUCUGUGAAGCAGAACAACUUCUACAAAGGUCCACAAGCAGUGAUUUCAGAGACCUCGGCAGCAGGAGCCACCAGCAGUCUGCACAAGAAGCACCACACUUUGGGCCCUGACACUGAAUCUUUCUAGGAAUCUUGCCACAACAAAUCCAAAAUGCCAUCAAAAGUAACCUCUCUUGGUUUUGCAUGGCAGGGACACAACAUUGCAGAUCAGCUAAGUGCUCCUGGAGCUGUGGGAUUGGACUCAGUGAGGAAAUGAAAAAUGGAGGAGACUUUUUCCAGGGGACUCAACAUGACCAACUCACAGGGCACAUUUCUUCAAGGGUUGCACCCCAGUAAAGCCAGUCACAGCCAC